This 506-nucleotide ribosomal RNA is filed under the name Listeria monocytogenes. RNAcentral describes it as "bacterial SSU rRNA". It matches the Rfam family "Bacterial small subunit ribosomal RNA", at positions 212 to 710 of the family's 1533-position model. Lineage: Bacteria; Bacillati; Bacillota; Bacilli; Caryophanales; Listeriaceae. The record is from RNAcentral.
CUAUCGCUUACAGAUGGGCCCGCGGUGCAUUAGCUAGUUGGUAGGGUAAUGGCCUACCAAGGCAACGAUGCAUAGCCGACCUGAGAGGGUGAUCGGCCACACUGGGACUGAGACACGGCCCAGACUCCUACGGGAGGCAGCAGUAGGGAAUCUUCCGCAAUGGACGAAAGUCUGACGGAGCAACGCCGCGUGUAUGAAGAAGGUUUUCGGAUCGUAAAGUACUGUUGUUAGAGAAGAACAAGGAUAAGAGUAACUGCUUGUCCCUUGACGGUAUCUAACCAGAAAGCCACGGCUAACUACGUGCCAGCAGCCGCGGUAAUACGUAGGUGGCAAGCGUUGUCCGGAUUUAUUGGGCGUAAAGCGCGCGCAGGCGGUCUUUUAAGUCUGAUGUGAAAGCCCCCGGCUUAACCGGGGAGGGUCAUUGGAAACUGGAAGACUGGAGUGCAGAAGAGGAGAGUGGAAUUCCACGUGUAGCGGUGAAAUGCGUAGAUAUGUGGAGGAACACC